CCUACGGGUGGCAGCAGUGGGGAAUAUUGGACAAUGGGCGAAAGCCUGAUCCAGCCAUGCCGCGUGUGUGAAGAAGGCCUUCGGGUUGUAAAGCACUUUCAGUGGGGAAGAAAGCCUUGGGGCUAAUACCCUCGAGGAAGGACAUCACCCACAGAAGAAGCACCGGCUAACUCCGUGCCAGCAGCCGCGGUAAUACGGAGGGUGCGAGCGUUAAUCGGAAUUACUGGGCGUAAAGCGCGCGUAGGCGGUCUGAUAAGCCGGUUGUGAAAGCCCCGGGCUCAACCUGGGAACGGCAUCCGGAACUGGCAGGCUAGAGUGCAGGAGAGGAAGGUAGAAUUCCCGGUGUAGCGGUGAAAUGCGUAGAGAUCGGGAGGAAUACCAGUGGCGAAGGCGGCCUUCUGGACUGACACUGACGCUGAGGUGCGAAAGCGUGGGUAGCAAACAGGAUUAGAUACCCGUGUAGUC
This 465-nucleotide ribosomal RNA is filed under the name Vreelandella stevensii. Its description in RNAcentral is "partial 16S ribosomal RNA". It matches the Rfam family "Bacterial small subunit ribosomal RNA", at positions 338 to 795 of the family's 1533-position model. The record is from RNAcentral. Lineage: Bacteria; Pseudomonadati; Pseudomonadota; Gammaproteobacteria; Oceanospirillales; Halomonadaceae.